RNAcentral lists this ribosomal RNA (264 nucleotides) under uncultured archaeon. Its description in RNAcentral is "partial 16S ribosomal RNA". It matches the Rfam family "Archaeal small subunit ribosomal RNA", at positions 718 to 982 of the family's 1478-position model. The record is from RNAcentral.
AGUCACUGACAUUAGAUACCCCCGUAGUCCUAGCCGUAAACGAUACUCGCUAGGUGUCGGCCACGGUGCGACCGUUGUCGGUGCCGUAGGGAAGCCGUGAAGCGAGCCACCUGGGAAGUACGGCCGCAAGGCUGAAACUUAAAGGAAUUGGCGGGGAGCACCACAACGGGUGGAGCUUGCGGUUUAAUUGGAUUCAACGCCGGAAAUCUUACCGGGACCGACAGCAACAUGAAGGCCAGGCUGAAGACUUUGCCGGAUUAGCUG